This 432-nucleotide long non-coding RNA is filed under the name Mytilus galloprovincialis (Mediterranean mussel). Lineage: Eukaryota; Metazoa; Mollusca; Bivalvia; Mytilida; Mytilidae. The record is from RNAcentral.
ACGAGGAAAGGUUAAACUAGGCAACUGAAAACUGAAUCUUGGUAGCCGAUAGGUCUUAAGCGAUGGACACAAUGCAGACAGUGUUGUCCGACGAUAUCCCAACAGCAUAAGUUCGAUUCCCGGCGAGGUAAACACACGCCUCCACAUAUUUGUAGAUUAAACAUUGGUGUGCUGAUAUUUAUAGUUGUUAAAAAUAUAUUUAUAAACAUAUGUAAAAAGGGGGGAUUAAAGACACCAAGCAAACCAUGAAUUUCAUUUAUAUAGCUUACUAUCCGGUAUGUGUUUUGCUCACUGUUGAAAACCGUAUGGUGCGGACAGUCAAUUGCUAGCUACUACACCAUUUGGUCUCUGCAUGUUGGUGACUGAGUUGUCACAUUGAAAAUCAUACCACAUUUUCUUUAUUUUCUAAAUGGUUUUGUCAAGAGGCAAUGA